AGGGAUGUAGCGCAGCUUGGUAGCGUGUUUGUUUUGGGUACGAAAUGUCACGGGUUCAAAUCCUGUCAUCCCUA
RNAcentral lists this transfer RNA (74 nucleotides) under Helianthus annuus (common sunflower). It matches the Rfam family "tRNA". From Rfam's summary of the family: Transfer RNA (tRNA) molecules are approximately 80 nucleotides in length. Their secondary structure includes four short double-helical elements and three loops (D, anti-codon, and T loops). Lineage: Eukaryota; Viridiplantae; Streptophyta; Magnoliopsida; Asterales; Asteraceae. The record is from Rfam by way of RNAcentral.